Molecule: ribosomal RNA, 433 nt
Filed under: uncultured Lachnospiraceae bacterium
Lineage: Bacteria; Bacillati; Bacillota; Clostridia; Lachnospirales; Lachnospiraceae
Description: partial 16S ribosomal RNA
Rfam family: Bacterial small subunit ribosomal RNA
Source: RNAcentral
ACGGGAGGCAGCAGUGGGGAAUAUUGCACAAUGGGCGCAAGCCUGAUGCAGCGACGCUGCGUGAGCGAAGAAGUAUUUCGGUAUGUAAAGCUCUAUCAGCAGGGAAGAAAAUGACGGUACCGACUAAGAAGCCCCGGCUAACUACGUGCCAGCAGCCGCGGUAAUACGUAGGGGGCAAGCGUUAUCCGGAUUUAUUGGGUUUAAAGGGUGCGUAGGCUGUGCAGCAAGUCAGCGGUGAAAGCCCGGGGCCUAACUCCGGAACUGCCGUUGAUACUGUUGUGCUGGAAUACGGAUGCCGUGGGAGGAAUGAGUAGUGUAGCGGUGAAAUGCAUAGAUAUUACUCAGAACACCGAUUGCGAAGGCAUCUCACGAAUCCGUUAUUGACGCUGAGGCACGAAAGCGUGGGGAUCAAACAGGAUUAGAUACCCUGGUA